UCACUAGGUGAUUAGAGUUGAUCAUGGCUCCGGAAUCAACGCUGCGGCGUGGCUUACACAUGCAAGUCGAAACGAGAAAGUGGAGCAAUCCAUGAGUACAGUGGCCGACCGGGUGAGUAACACGUGACUACCUACCCUUGAGUGGGGGAUAACCUCGGGAAACCGAGGCUAAUACCGCAUAAUAUCGAAAGAUCAAAGGAGUAAUCCGCUUUUGGAGGGGGUCGCGGCUGAUUAGCUAGUUGGUAGGGUAAUGGCCUACCAAGGCAAAGAUCGGUAUCCGGCCUGAGAGGGCGCACGGACACACUGGAACUGAAACACGGUCCAGACUCCUACGGGAGGCAGCAGUGGGGAAUUUUGCGUCAUGGGGGGGAACCCUGACGCAGCAACGCCGCGUGGAGGAUGAAGGGCCUUGGGUCGUAAACUACUAAAAAAAAAAAAAAUACUGAUGGUACCGGUGGAAGAAGCACCGGCUAACUCUGUGCCAGCAGCCGCGGUAAUACAGAGGGUGCGAGCGUUGUUCGGAAUUAUUGGGCGUAAAGGGCGCGUAGGCGGUGCGGUAAGUCACCUGUGAAAUCCCCGGGCUUAACUCGGGGCCUGCAGGCGAAACUGCCGUGCUGGAGUGUGGGAGAGGUGCGUGGAAUUCCCGGUGUAGCGGUGAAAUGCGUAGAUAUCGGGAGGAACACCUGUGGCGAAAGCGGCGCACUGGACCACAACUGACGCUGAGGCGCGAAAGCUAGGGGAGCAAACAGGAUUAGAUACCCUGGUAGUCCUAGCCCUAAACGAUGAUUGCUUGGUGUGAUCGGUACCCAAUCCGAUCGUGCCGCAGCUAACGCGAUAAGCAAUCCGCCUGGGGAGGAUGGUCGCAAGGCUGAAACUCAAAAGGAAUUGACGGGGGCCCGCACAAGCGGUGGAGCAUGUGGUUCAAUUUCGACGCAACCCGAAGAACCCUUACCCUGGGCUCCAAAAUGCAGGAGACCCGGGGGAGAAA
RNAcentral lists this ribosomal RNA (988 nucleotides) under uncultured bacterium. Its description in RNAcentral is "bacterial SSU rRNA". It matches the Rfam family "Bacterial small subunit ribosomal RNA", at positions 1 to 1006 of the family's 1533-position model. The record is from RNAcentral.